This 262-nucleotide ribosomal RNA is filed under the name uncultured bacterium. RNAcentral's name for it is "partial 16S ribosomal RNA". It matches the Rfam family "Bacterial small subunit ribosomal RNA", at positions 336 to 590 of the family's 1533-position model. The record is from RNAcentral.
CUCCUACGGGGCGCAGCAGUAGGGAAUCUUCCACAAUGGACGAAAGUCUGAUGGAGCAACGCCGCGUGAGUGAAGAAGGGUUUCGGCUCGUAAAGCUCUGUUGGUAGUGAAGAAAGAUAGAGGUAGUAACUGGCCUUUAUUUGACGGUAAUUACUUAGAAAGUCACGGCUAACUACGUGCCAGCAGCCGCGGUAAUACGUAGGUGGCAAGCGUUGUCCGGAUUUAUUGGGCGUAAAGCGAGUGUAGGCGGGUUAAAAAGCUU